GCAUAACGCGAAGAACCUUACCUGGCCUUGACAUUGAUAGAAUCUGUUAGAGAUAGAGGAGUGCUCGAAAGAGAGCCGUAACACAGGUGCUGCAUGGCUGUCGUCAGCUCGUGUCGUGAGAUGUUGGGUUAAGUCCCGCAACGAGCGCAACCCUUGCCAUUAGUUGCUACAUUUAGUUGAGCACUCUAAUGGGACUGCCGGUGACAAACCGGAGGAAGGUGGGGAUGACGUCAAGUCCUCAUGGCCCUUAUAGGUGGGGCUACACACGUCAUACAAUGGCUGGUACAAAGGGUUGCCAACCCGCGAGGGGGAGCUAAUCCCAUAAAGCCAGUCGUAGUCCGGAUCGCAGUCUGCAACUCGACUGCGUGAAGUCGGAAUCGCUAGUAAUCGUGGAUCAGAAUGUCACGGUGAAUACGUUCCCGGGUCUUGUACACACCG
Molecule: ribosomal RNA, 438 nt
Filed under: uncultured bacterium
Lineage: Bacteria
Description: bacterial SSU rRNA
Rfam family: Bacterial small subunit ribosomal RNA
Source: RNAcentral